GCAUCGGUGGUUCAGUGGUAGAAUGCUCGCCUGCCACGCGGGCGGCCAGGGUUCGAUUCCCCGCCGAUGCA
Cordylochernes scorpioides is the source of this 71-nucleotide non-coding RNA. The record is from the annotation of a GenBank genome assembly. NCBI's taxonomy places the organism in Eukaryota, Metazoa, Arthropoda, Arachnida, Pseudoscorpiones, Chernetidae.